AUCCAGCUGACGAGUCCCAAAUAGGACGAAAGGCGCGUACUGGAA
RNAcentral lists this non-coding RNA (45 nucleotides) under Schistosoma mattheei. Lineage: Eukaryota; Metazoa; Platyhelminthes; Trematoda; Strigeidida; Schistosomatidae. The record is from RNAcentral.